Myotis lucifugus (little brown bat) is the source of this 75-nucleotide non-coding RNA. The record is from Rfam. NCBI's taxonomy places the organism in Eukaryota, Metazoa, Chordata, Mammalia, Chiroptera, Vespertilionidae.
GGCGGUUCUCGGGUGACGCACCCCAGAAUUGCGCUUUUUUAUCUCUGGUUCUGGGUGUGUCACCUGAGAACUGCA